This 488-nucleotide ribosomal RNA is filed under the name uncultured bacterium. RNAcentral describes it as "bacterial SSU rRNA". It matches the Rfam family "Bacterial small subunit ribosomal RNA", at positions 29 to 507 of the family's 1533-position model. The record is from RNAcentral.
AACGAACGCUGGCGGCAGGCCUAACACAUGCAAGUCGAACGAGAAAGUUCCCUUCGGGGAACGAGUACAGUGGCGAACGGGUGAGUAACGCGUGGAUAACGUGCCCUUCUGUGGGGAACAACCAAGGGAAACUUUGGCUAAUACCGCAUAAGCUCUUCGGAGGAAAGGUUGCCUCUCUACGAUGCAAUCGCGGAAGGAGCGGUCCGCGUCCCAUUAGCUAGUUGGUGGGGUAAUGGCCUACCAAGGCGACGAUGGGUAGCCGGCCUGAGAGGGUGAUCGGCCACACUGGGACUGAGACACGGCCCAGACUCCUACGGGAGGCUGCAGUGGGGAAUUUUGCGCAAUGAGCGAAAGCUUGACGCAGCGACGCCGCGUGCGGGAUGAAGGCUCUCGGGUCGUAAACCGCUGUCGUGAGGGACGAACAAGCUUGGGAUGAAUAAGCCCAGGCCCUGACGGUACCUCAUGAGAAAGCCCCGGCUAACUACGUG